RNAcentral lists this long non-coding RNA (751 nucleotides) under Mytilus galloprovincialis (Mediterranean mussel). Lineage: Eukaryota; Metazoa; Mollusca; Bivalvia; Mytilida; Mytilidae. The record is from RNAcentral.
CGAUGUCAUGGUCGUUCGCUCCAAUUGGUGGUUAUGUUUCGACUCGAUUGUCUUAUUGCUACUACAAUUUGAUAUUAAUUAGUAUUGUAAUUUUCACUGUUAAAAAUAAGCGUUAGAUAAGUUAGACAAAUCUAAUCUUGAAGUUCAUCUGAAUUCUUUCUUAAUUUUUGGGAACUCGUUUUUUAAUGUUAUGUAAUGUCAUUUUAAUGUUAUGAUUACUAUUGCCAUUACAGCGGGAGGCUUGGCAUGCCACAAAACCAGGUUCGACCCACCAUUUUUAUCUUUAAAUGCCCUGUACCAAGUCAGGGAAAUGGUCAUUGUUAUAUUAUAGUUCGGUUCUGUUGUGUCGUAGUUCUCUUAUAUUUGAUGCGUUUCCCUCAGAUUAGUUUGUAACUCGGAUUUGUUUUUUUCUCUAUCCAUUUAUGAAUUUCGAACAGCGGUAUACUACUGUUGCCUUUAUUUGACAUAUGAUGGAUUGGUCAUACACAGCAGGUCUAGUGUUGUGUCGUUUCUGGUGUUCUUGUUUACUACCUGUGUAAAUAUGUCAAGGAGUUGUUGGUGUAGUGAAGCAUCAUGUUUACAAGGUAUAACUGCUGGUGUAUUCCAGUCUAUGUGGCCAAGAUUGGAAUCGCCACUUACCCAGAUAUUUGGGUUCGUUUUUUUGCAUAAGACUCUAUUUAGUGAGAUAGCAAGUUGUUCUAGGGAUUCUCCUUUAUCGGAUGGUGGUCGAUAGGAGGAAACAAAGGUAGAG